AGCUUCAUAUUUUAGUGAUUCGGGAAUUAAUAUUUAGAUCUAUUUUCUACGCACGUUUAAGUUGGAUUCACAAUGGAUAUGGGGUAGGAAGGUAUUUGGAACGUUCUUCAACGAGUAGAUCUCUUGUGAGGAUUAAAGGCUACCGAUCGAGGAGUGUGUGAAAAGCUUGGAUCAUCGGAGUGACUAAAUCUAGUCAUCAACUUCGACAAAGGAGAAAUCGCAUAGGAGAUCUCGUCAAGGAAUAUCGCAAAUCAGGUGAGCCUUGAUGUGGGGACUUGGGCCGGAGGGGAUUCAGAGUGGCCACGGUGAUUGUCUUUGGACUUUUAAAUAAGCGUAGGUUUUCUUUAAAUUUCCUUUAAAUAUUAUUUAUUUUUGGGUUGUAAUAAGGCCAUUUUAACUUUCCUUUUAUUUCUUUUCGGGAUUACUUUAAUUUUAAUAA
Molecule: long non-coding RNA, 439 nt
Organism: Gossypium arboreum
Lineage: Eukaryota; Viridiplantae; Streptophyta; Magnoliopsida; Malvales; Malvaceae
Exons: 2
Source: RefSeq, a predicted model, not a curated record